GCUUACUUAGGCGACAUAUAAACU
This 24-nucleotide microRNA is filed under the name Lonicera japonica. RNAcentral describes it as "u1325500". Lineage: Eukaryota; Viridiplantae; Streptophyta; Magnoliopsida; Dipsacales; Caprifoliaceae. The record is from RNAcentral.